Molecule: long non-coding RNA, 849 nt
Filed under: Brachypodium distachyon (stiff brome)
Lineage: Eukaryota; Viridiplantae; Streptophyta; Magnoliopsida; Poales; Poaceae
Description: long non-coding RNA (BDIS_LNC004714)
Source: RNAcentral
AAAAGAUACCCUGAGGGUCACAAGUUUGCAGCUCUAGUCCAGGCAUUGCAGAAAGUAGAGAUUAUCUAGCGGACUUCUUCCGGUGUGUGUUAUCCUUAGCGGUUCCUUGAGGCUGGAUCAAUUUAUUUUGGGUGCCUCUAAAGAUCAGUCAACUAAUAAUUAAGUGAAAUCUUCAAAUCUAAGUCGAUCCCUUACAGUCAUAUGAUACCCAAUCUCACCGAACUUGACACUCAUUCUGUGUGGGCUGGCUGUCGUUUUGAUUUUGUCUACGUAUGUACUCCAUCCGAUUCAGAACGAAUCACUAAAGUUGUACGGUACAAAAUAAUAAGAUGGCCCCCACCGUCCCCGGCAGCACAAAGCGCAGAUCCCAUAUAGCCAGUACAUAACCGAGGUGCCCCCUCCCUGCACCACCUCGCUAUGGCUGCCUCCCCCUCGUGGCGCCGCGGCCGUCCCCUCCCGCAGCGUCUUUCUUAAGGAGGUCUGUCUUUUUUAUAUUUGCUUUCUGCAAAAUAAAAAGUUCACAAUAAAAAGAUAAAUAUGAAAAGUUAAAAUAUUAAAACUUUUCGAAUCAGAAAUAAAAUGUAAAAGUUUAAAAGAUUACAAGAUAAAACUUCAAAAGUUAAAAGUCAACAAGCAGAAAAUAAAAAAAAGCCAAUAAUAAUAAUAAUAAUAAUAAUAAUAAUAAUCGUAAUAAUCGGACAACCCAUUUUUGGGCUGUCAGAAUUUGUCCGCCCAAAUUGGUUUUGGCGGUCGUACCGCAGAUGUGCGGUUUUAUUUGUGUGUCAUAGCUAUUAGGCAUUCAUUAAUGAAAUUGGUGUGCCUAAGACUGUAUUUUUCUUUGAUGCCUGA